Molecule: ribosomal RNA, 427 nt
Filed under: uncultured beta proteobacterium
Lineage: Bacteria; Pseudomonadati; Pseudomonadota; Betaproteobacteria
Description: bacterial SSU rRNA
Rfam family: Bacterial small subunit ribosomal RNA
Source: RNAcentral
UGGGGAAUUUUGGACAAUGGGCGAAAGCCUGAUCCAGCCAUGCCGCGUGAGUGAAGAAGGCCUUCGGGUUGUAAAGCUCUUUUAGUCGGAAAGAAAGAGUUGCAAUGAAUAAUUGUGAUUUAUGACGGUACCGACAGAAAAAGCACCGGCUAACUACGUGCCAGCAGCCGCGGUAAUACGGAGGGUGCGAGCGUUAAUCGGAAUUACUGGGCGUAAAGGGUGCGCAGGCGGUCUUGCAAGUCAGAUGUGAAAGCCCCGGGCUUAACCUGGGAAUUGCGUUUGAAACUACAAGACUAGAGUGCAGCAGAGGGGAGUGGAAUUCCCUGUGUAGCAGUGAAAUGCGUAGAGAUGUGGAAGAACACCGAUGGCGAAGGCAGCUCCCUGGGUUGACACUGACGCUCAUGCACGAAAGCGUGGGGAGCAAACA